This 253-nucleotide ribosomal RNA is filed under the name uncultured bacterium. RNAcentral's name for it is "partial 16S ribosomal RNA". It matches the Rfam family "Bacterial small subunit ribosomal RNA", at positions 524 to 776 of the family's 1533-position model. The record is from RNAcentral.
UACAGAGGGUGCGAGCGUUAAUCGGAAUUACUGGGCGUAAAGCGCGCGUAGGCGGACCUGCAAGUCGGGGGUGAAAGCCCGAGGCUCAACCUCGGAACUGCCUUCGAUACUGCGGGUCUCGAGUCCGGGAGAGGUGAGUGGAAUUCCUAGUGUAGAGGUGAAAUUCGUAGAUAUUAGGAAGAACACCAGUGGCGAAGGCGGCUCACUGGCCCGGUACUGACGCUGAGGCGCGAAAGCGUGGGGAGCAAACAGG